This 253-nucleotide ribosomal RNA is filed under the name uncultured bacterium. Its description in RNAcentral is "partial 16S ribosomal RNA". It matches the Rfam family "Bacterial small subunit ribosomal RNA", at positions 524 to 776 of the family's 1533-position model. The record is from RNAcentral.
UACGUAGGGUGCAAGCGUUAAUCGGAAUUACUGGGCGUAAAGCGUGCGCAGGCGGUUUAUGAAGCAGAGUGUGAAAUCCCCGGGCUUAACCUGGGAAUGGCAUUUGGGACUGCAAGGCUGGAGUGCGGCAGAGGAGACUGGAAUUCCUGGUGUAGCAGUGAAAUGCGUAGAUAUCAGGAGGAAUACCGAUGGCGAAGGCAGGUCUCUGGGCUGACACUGACGCUCAUGCACGAAAGCGUGGGGAGCAAACAGG